GACGAACGCUGGCGGCGUGCCUAAUACAUGCAAGUUGAGCGCUGAAGGUUGGUACUUGUACCGACUGGAUGAGCAGCGAACGGGUGAGUAACGCGUGGGGAAUCUGCCUUUGAGCGGGGGGACAACAUUUGGAAACGAAUGCUAAUACCGCAUAAAAACUUUAAACACAAGUUUUAAGUUUGAAAGAUGCAAUUGCAUCACUCAAAGAUGAUCCCGCGUUGUAUUAGCUAGUUGG
RNAcentral lists this ribosomal RNA (235 nucleotides) under uncultured bacterium. RNAcentral's name for it is "partial 16S ribosomal RNA". It matches the Rfam family "Bacterial small subunit ribosomal RNA", at positions 28 to 252 of the family's 1533-position model. The record is from RNAcentral.